CAGUCGAGCGGAACGACUUAACUGAACCUUCGGGGAACGUUAAGGGCGUCGAGCGGCGGACGGGUGAGUAAUGCCUGGGAAAUUGCCCUGAUGUGGGGGAUAACCAUUGGAAACGAUGGCUAAUACCGCAUAAUAGCUUCGGCUCAAAGAGGGGGACCUUCGGGCCUCUCGCGUCAGGAUAUGCCCAGGUGGGAUUAGCUAGUUGGUGAGGUAAGGGCUCACCAAGGCGACGAUCCCUAGCUGGUCUGAGAGGAUGAUCAGCCACACUGGAACUGAGACACGGUCCAGACUCCUACGGGAGGCAGCACUGGGGAAUAUUGCACAAUGGGCGCAAGCCUGAUGCAGCCAUGCCGCGUGUAUGAAGAAGGCCUUCGGGUUGUAAAGUACUUUCAGCAGUGAGGAAGGUGGAUGCGUUAAUAGCGUAUUCAUUUGACGUUAGCUGCAGAAGAAGCACCGGCUAACUCCGUGCCAGCAGCCGCGGUAAUACGGAGGGUGCGAGCGUUAAUCGGAAUUACUGGGCGUAAAGCGCAUGCAGGUGGUUUGUUAAGUCAGAUGUG
This 557-nucleotide ribosomal RNA is filed under the name Vibrionales bacterium FWMR029. Its description in RNAcentral is "bacterial SSU rRNA". It matches the Rfam family "Bacterial small subunit ribosomal RNA", at positions 59 to 596 of the family's 1533-position model. The record is from RNAcentral. Lineage: Bacteria; Pseudomonadati; Pseudomonadota; Gammaproteobacteria; Vibrionales.